GGGGGCCCGCAAGCGGUGGAGCAUGUGGUUCAAUUCGACGCAACGCGAAGAACCUUACCUGGGCUCGAACGGCUGGUCAACGCCGGUGGAAACAUCGGUACCCCGCAAGGGGGUCCAGUCGAGGUGCUGCAUGGCUGUCGUCAGCUCGUGUCGUGAGACGUUGGGUUAAGUCCCGCAACGAGCGCAACCCUCGUCCUGUGUUGCCAUCAUUCAGUUGGGAACUCGCAGGAGACCGCCAGCGAUAAGCUGGAGGAAGGUGGGGAUGACGUCAAGUCCUCAUGGCCUUUAUGUCCAGGGCUACACACGUGCUACAAUGGCCGGUACAAACCGCAGCAAACCCGCGAGGGGGAGCCAAUCGGAAAAAACCGGUCUCAGUUCGGAUUGCAGGCUGCAACUCGCCUGCAUGAAGCUGGAAUCGCUAGUAAUGGCAGAUCAGCACGCUGCCGUGAAUACGUUCCCGGGCCUUGUACACACC
Molecule: ribosomal RNA, 475 nt
Filed under: uncultured bacterium
Lineage: Bacteria
Description: bacterial SSU rRNA
Rfam family: Bacterial small subunit ribosomal RNA
Source: RNAcentral